AACGUAGGUUCCGAGCGUUAUCCGGAUUUACUGGGCGUAAAGGGUGCGUAGGCGGCGCGGUAAGUCGGGUGUGAAAUCUCGGAGCUUAACUCCGAAACUGCAUUCGAUACUGCCGUGCUUGAGGACUGGAGAGGAGACUGGAAUUUACGGUGUAGCGGUGAAAUGCGUAGAUAUCGUAAGGAAGACCAGUGGCGAAGGCGGGUCUCUGGACAGUUCCUGACGCUGAGGCACGAAGGUCAGGGGAGCAAACGGG
RNAcentral lists this ribosomal RNA (253 nucleotides) under uncultured bacterium. Its description in RNAcentral is "partial 16S ribosomal RNA". It matches the Rfam family "Bacterial small subunit ribosomal RNA", at positions 524 to 776 of the family's 1533-position model. The record is from RNAcentral.